This is a long non-coding RNA of Equus caballus (horse), 2233 nucleotides long. Lineage: Eukaryota; Metazoa; Chordata; Mammalia; Perissodactyla; Equidae. The record is from Ensembl.
UGUGCAUCAAAGGACACUAGCGAGAGAGUGAAAAGACAACCCACAGAACGGGAGAAAAGAUUUGCAAAUCAUACAUCUAAAAUCAUAUAUAAAAAUCAUAUAUCUGGUUUAAAAUCCAGAAUAUAUAAAGAAGUCCAACAACUCAACCACAAAAAGGCGAAAACCCAAUUUUACAGUGGGCAACAAACUUGAAUAGACAUUUCUCCGAAGAAGAUAUACAAAUGGUCAAUAAGCACAUGAAAAGUUGCUUGACAUCGUUAGUCAUUAGGGAAAUGCAAAUCAAAACCGCAAUGAGAUGUCACUUCACACCAAUUAGGAUGGCUAUAAUUUUGGACAAUAGCAGUUAUUGGAGAGGGUGAGAAGAAAUCGGAACACUUGCACAUUGCUGUUGAGAUCAUAACAUGGUGCAGCCGCUGUGGAAGCAGCCUGGCAGUUCCUCAAAAAGUUACACAUCGAAUUUCCAUAUAAGCCAGCAAUUCCGCUCCUAGGUAUAGACCCAAAAGAUUUAAAAAGAGGCACUCAAACACAUGCUUGUCCAGGAGCGUUCGUAGCGGCACUGUUCACAACAGCCACAAGGUGGCAACAACCCAAGUGUCCAUCCACAGAGGAACGGAUAAACAAAUUGUGGUCUAUCCACAUAGUGGAAUAUAAUUCAGCCAUAAAAAGGAAUGAAAUGCAUGGGCUACAGCAUGGAUGAGCCUUGAGGGCCCGUGAACCCGCCCUGGCAUAGCUGAGGGCUGGGGGGCGCCGGGCAGCAGCUGGGCAUCUAGGUGUGCCCGGGGGAUGCACUGAAGAGAGGAGAGCAGGUGGAGGAUCGCACUGGGGUCAGGGCAGCUGAGGCGGACACUGUCGCUGUCCGAGCCGGCAACCAUUCCCAAUUCCUCCUCCCUUGCUGCUUCAUCACUGCUGAACAGUGGAGCCUGUUCCAGCCCCCACGCUGGCCAAUGGGACUUAAGGGGAAGUCUGCUGGGGGCUCCGAAACCUUUAGUUCUCCUGACAAAAGAGAAAGCCUUGGCUGGCCAGCACCACCCAGGGCUCCCUGACUUUGCCUCCAACACUCUGUCAAGUCUGCAGCUGCAAUAGCCAUUGAGCAAAGACAGGGGGCAAGCAUGAGACCCAAAAGCCAGCAGCCUGAGUAGGACAGUGCAGAAGUAGAAGCAUGGGCCCUCCACGACACACCAGCCAGCACCCGCCCCCUCCAGACUUCCCGUCACCGAGAACAUCCCCGGCCGAGCCAGAGGGGGAAGCCGACGCUCAGAGCAGCUCUCUCGCCGGAGGUCACCGCCCGGGUCUUGACCAGGAAGCAUCCCCGUGCUCACUCCUGGGCCCCACAGGAGGAGACUGGAUUCCCGCUCAGCGGAUGCCGGGGAGCCUCAUGGAGCAACAAGGCUCCAGGUCCUUCUUCCCCUCCCUGCUCUGCGUCCUGCAGCAAACAGCCUGGACAGGCCCAGCGCAAGGCAGAAACUCCAUCAGCAAAGCUGAUUCUAGGGCCCUGCUCUUUCAGAGCUGUUCAGAGUCAAAAUGUCCCCGUUACCAGGCAACGCUGCUCAGCUGGAUUUAGAACACUGGAAAGCCUGGAACCCACCAUGGCUGCAAUAUCUGAGCGAACGGGGAGGGAGGGGGCGCUGCUGCUGGCUCGGUGGUCCAGUUGGGCCCAGGUGAAAGGCUGGGAUAAGAGCUGCCUCUAGGCUCUGAGCACUCACUUCCCUCGGGCCAAGAGUAGGGUGAGUGCCCUGUCGCCCUCAAUCCUCAACAUUGCCGUCUAGCUUGAUACCAUUGUUCUCACUUUACAAAUAAGGAAACUGAGGCCCGUGAAGUCACACCCCUGGCCCAAGGGCCCACAGCAGGGCUGACCCUUGGGCCACGCCAGGAUCGUCCUCAGCAAGUUCCAGCCAGUGGACCGCAAGGAGACUGACACGUCGCUUCCGAGCUGAGCCAGUUGAGAGCUGCCGGUGGGAGACGGAGAGAGCUGCUCCAUCUCAGUCCUCCCGACCACACGGACCCCGGGGGCCAUGUGCUCUAAAUGGAGGAGGGCUGCCCGUCCUCACGAGCCUUUAGGUGAGUGAGGAGCCAGCCUGGAUGGCGUUUAACCACCGAGACUCCAGGUUUGUCUGUUAUGGCAGCUGGUGUUAAAUACCCCGACACAUUCAGACCCCAGAGUUAGAAGAGAGCAAAGCAACUUGGUAUAUAGGAAGUGAUGGAAUGUCAUGCUUUCAAUAAAAAGUAAGCUGGC